UUGGGGAAGAAAAUUGAAGGUAAGUUCAUGGUAGUUUGCUUCUAUCUUGAUGUUCAUGAGUUCUUCUGAAUUCUACCUUAACUCUUGAAGCAUAUUUUGGUUUUUGGUUGUGUUUUGAGCAUUUGGUCAUGAAUUAAAAUGAAGGAAAUUGUUGUUGUUUCAUGUUCUUUUGAUGAAAAAUUGAAGAUAGGUGAAGUUGAGCCAAACAAAUGAGCAUGCAUGUGCCUUAGAUGCUAAGGGGAAAAUCGGCUAACAUGUUAUGCUUUAAAAUGAUGAAAUGGAGAUUAUACUUAAGUAAAAUCAUAGAUAUGUGAUGAUUGAUUGGUGAUAUAUAUGUUUAAAUAACAAACAUGCAAGUUAGGUGUGAAAGAGUGAUUUGGUAAUAAAUCUGCUUGGGACAGCAGCUACAUAAAUUAUGGGAAAUCACCAUAAAUUGUGGGAGAUGAGUUAGAAGCUACAUAAAUUAUGUAAUUAAAGCUUACUGAGUCUAGUUUCAAAUGGAAUAAACAAGAACAUAUUUUGAAUUCUGUACAAUGAGAAAUUUGAUUCGUAAUGAAGAGUGGUCAGAUUAGUCAAACAGUAAAACAUGGGAAACUUUAAGAAAAAUCUGGUAUUGAUUGGCCAUACGAAAUAUUCUAAAAAUUUUAUUGAUAGAAGAUAUGUGAGUCUAUUUUCAGGGAAAAUUAACAACACUUGAUUUGGAGUUUCGUAGCUCUAGUUAUAAAUAAUAUAGUGACUGUUGCUCAGGAAGACAGCUUGCAGUGAAACUAUGAUUAUGUGGUAAACAUUGACAAAAAUUUGUUAAUGAGUUGCUUAUUGUUUUCUUAUAAGCUUACUAUGAUCUGUAGGUGUGGUUGUCCGAAUAUUGUAAGGGGUUAAUACGUAGUUUGUAUUUGAAUAGUUAGAUUAACGUGUUAGUAAUCCAAUUGUAGGCGGUUCGUGUGUGGAUCUCGUCAGCAUAUCGUCGCAAACAGGUGUGUAACUAACAGCCUCUUUCUUAGUCUAGAUCAGCGAAAACCGAAAAGCCGACAUACCGAAAACCAGUAUUUUGUAGAUUUACGAGUGUGCGAAUGCUCGUGAGGUAAAUCGAUUAAUGUUUUUGGUAAGCUGUAAUGUUUGGACAGCAAAGUGCAUGAUUUAUGUGCCCUCGAUAUUUUUGGGCUUAAUGGGCCAAAAUUGGAAUGAUGGGCCAACGGGCCCAAUUCGGUAAGAACCCUCGGUACGUGAUUCUGUUAGUACGUGAAAGGUAGGAAUAUGCAUGAAAAC
Molecule: long non-coding RNA, 1266 nt
Filed under: Gossypium barbadense (sea-island cotton)
Lineage: Eukaryota; Viridiplantae; Streptophyta; Magnoliopsida; Malvales; Malvaceae
Description: long non-coding RNA (GBAR_LNC006637)
Source: RNAcentral